UUGGAGAGUUGGAUAAAGAAGAAGAUAGUGAAUGUGAAAAGUCAACUAUAGUUAAGUCGAAGAGACCUGGAAGAAUAAAAGCUUCAAAUGUAAUGGUUACUGAGCAGCAAGAAACUGGUACAGGUGGUGGUGUGGAGGAUGGUAAGAUGGUAGACCAGGAAGAGCUGCUACAUGUGAGGGAUGAAACAGAUGACGGCAUUUCAACAACUAGAUUUAAGGAGGGGGUUGAGGAUGGCAAUGCGGCAUUGCCGUUAGAUAACGAAGACAACGCUCAGUUAGAGACUUGUGUAGAGCCAGAAGAAUGCCACGCGACUGACCAGGUGAGUAUGCUGGAACAGGAUUUGCAAAGAAGAAAUGAAGUGAGUGUUGGGGUGAUUGACCAAAAGGAUGGUGUGGAAGGUGGUUUACUUCCUAAUGAUGAAAAAGAUGGAGGCACAGAGAAGCAAGCUGAAGAUGAAGUUGACAGAAUUGAUUAUGCCCAGGAAAAAGAUGGAGGCACAGAGGAACAAGCUGAAGAUGAAGUUGACAGAGUUGAUUAUGCCCAGGAAAAAGAUGAAGGUGUUUUUAGUGAUAAAGCUCUGGAAAUGGAGAAGGUGGUCAAGAAAGAAUGUGCUUCUGAUAGUACUUUGAGAAAGCGGCGAAUAAGAGAGGGAAGAC
RNAcentral lists this long non-coding RNA (657 nucleotides) under Solanum tuberosum (potato). Its description in RNAcentral is "long non-coding RNA (STUB_LNC007739)". The record is from RNAcentral. Lineage: Eukaryota; Viridiplantae; Streptophyta; Magnoliopsida; Solanales; Solanaceae.